RNAcentral lists this unclassified non-coding RNA (240 nucleotides) under soil metagenome. RNAcentral's name for it is "partial contains 5.8S ribosomal RNA, internal transcribed spacer 2, and large subunit ribosomal RNA". The record is from RNAcentral.
AACAUCGCGCACCUGCGGGAACCUGCGGAGGGAUCAUUAAUGAUUGGUGGCUGUUGCUGACUAGUGUUUCUAGUAUGUGCACGCCACACCUUCAAUCCCACUUACACCUGUGCACCUUCUGUAAUAGAUUUAUGUGGAUACGGAGAUGUGAAAGUUUGCGCUCUCCUACUCUGUUGAAGCAGUCUACUACGUUUUUUUACACACACACACACAAUAGUCAUUGAAUGUAUUUUUUAUUCU